RNAcentral lists this ribosomal RNA (250 nucleotides) under uncultured bacterium. RNAcentral describes it as "partial 16S ribosomal RNA". It matches the Rfam family "Bacterial small subunit ribosomal RNA", at positions 30 to 287 of the family's 1533-position model. The record is from RNAcentral.
AUUGAACGCUGGCGGCAUGCCUAACACAUGCAAGUCGAACGGGGUGUAGCAAUACAUCUAGUGGCGGACGGGUGAGGAAUACAUAGGAAUUUGCCCUUAAGUGGGGGAGUAGUCCGGGGAAACGUCGGUUUAAUACGCAUGAUCUCGUGAGAGCAAAGCAGGGGACCGGCAAGGCCUUGCGCUUUUGGAGAAGCCUAUGUCGGAUUAGCUAGUUGGUAGGGUAAUGCCUACCAAGGCGACGAUCCGUAAC